UGAUAGGUUCGAGGUGGAAGUGCGGUAACGUAUGCAGCUGACGAAUACUAAUCGGUCGAGGGCUUAACCAAA
RNAcentral lists this ribosomal RNA (72 nucleotides) under Paenibacillus pectinilyticus. Its description in RNAcentral is "partial 23S ribosomal RNA". Lineage: Bacteria; Bacillati; Bacillota; Bacilli; Caryophanales; Paenibacillaceae. The record is from RNAcentral.